Molecule: long non-coding RNA, 257 nt
Organism: Rattus norvegicus (Norway rat)
Lineage: Eukaryota; Metazoa; Chordata; Mammalia; Rodentia; Muridae
Source: RefSeq, a predicted model, not a curated record
CAGGGUUUCUUGUUUAGCCCUGGCUGUUCUAGAAUUCACUCUGAAAACCAGGAUGGCCUCAGACUCACAGAGAUCUGCGUACCCCUGACUCCUGAGUGCUGGGAUUAAAGUGUCCAUAGAGACCAGAAGAGGAUGUCAGAUCCCUGCCGCAUGGGCUGCUGGGCAUCCAAACGAGGUCCUCUGGAAGAACAGCCAGCGUUCUUAACUGCUGAGCCAUCUCUGAGCCCUAAUUAUCUUUUAAUAAAUCUCGAAUCUAA